UAGGGAAUCUUCCGCAAUGGACGAAAGUCUGACGGAGCAACGCCGCGUGAGUGAAGAAGGAUUUCGGUUCGUAAAACUCUGUUGUUAGGGAAGAAAAAAUGUAUAGUAACUAUAUACAAAAGAGACGGUACCUAACCAGAAAGCCACGGCUAACUACGUGCCAGCAGCCGCGGUAAUACGUAGGUGGCAAGCGUUGUCCGGAAUUAUUGGGCGUAAAGCGCGCGCAGGUGGUUUAGAAAGUCUGAUGUGAAAGCCCACGGCUCAACCGUGGAGGGUCAUUGGAAUCUAAUAAACUUGAGUGCAGGAGAGAAAAGUGGAAUUCCUAGUGUAGCGGUGAAAUGCGUAGAGAUUAGGAGGAACACCGGUGGCGAAAGCGGCUUUUUGGCCUGCAACUGACACUGAGGCGCGAAAGCGUGGGGAGCAAACAGG
RNAcentral lists this ribosomal RNA (429 nucleotides) under Verrucomicrobiota bacterium. Its description in RNAcentral is "Verrucomicrobia bacterium partial 16S ribosomal RNA". It matches the Rfam family "Bacterial small subunit ribosomal RNA", at positions 355 to 776 of the family's 1533-position model. The record is from RNAcentral. Lineage: Bacteria; Pseudomonadati; Verrucomicrobiota.